AUGUCAGAAGUAUUGUCUCUUGGUAGUGCAACGUUUUCUUCAUUGUUGUAACCAGUACUUCGAUAUUUACAAACAUUUACAAAGAUAUUUACAAACAUUAGUCAUCAAGUUUGUAAGAAAGACUGCUUUUAGUGGAUAUCAUCUUAAGUGCCAGAUGGGUACAGCUUUUAAAGAUCAUCACUGGUAAUGAGAGCCAGAGAUUUAGCUCUGAUUAACAAACAAACCAGAAGGUGGCUUGCAUCAGGUCAGAAUUGCAAAAGAAAUUAUAAAAAAAAAGAGAUUGUGAUUGCUUUUUUAAAAUUAACAGUUUUUUCCAUCUCAUGUCUGCCCAUAAUACGUUGAACAUUGAGUUCUCUGUUUGGAUCAUCUCAGUUUGAAAUGAAAUGUAUUUGCAUUUCAAAUGUAGUAACUGUCAAAACACGACUUUAGGGAAAGUAGGAGCUACUUUCCCUAAAGUCGUGUUCUUGGAAGUGAUCCAAGGAUGCAACUUUGGCCAUAAAACUCCAAACCGUACUUGACCCAAAUUAGGCAGAGUCACAGCACUUGGUGGUGGCAACUCAAAGAAUAGAUACAGUGUGGUGAAGAAGUAUUUGCCCCUCUCUGAUUUCUUAGUUUUUUGCAUAUUUGUCAAACUUACAGGUUACAGAUCAUCAAGCUAAUUUGAAUAUUAGACCAACAUAGCCUGAGUAAAUACAAAAUACAGUUUUUAAAUGACUUUGUUUAUUAAGGCAAAAAAAGUUAUCCAAGCCUACUUCAUCCUCAUAGAAUAGAAUAGAAUAGAAUAGAAUGCCUUUAUUGUCACUAUACAGUUGUACAAUGAGAUCAUCCACUCAUCCUGUGUGGGGAAAAAAGUAAUUGGCCCCACUUGAUCCACAGAACAUGGAUUGGAUCCACAGUGAGAGCCAUUAUCCAAAAAUGAAGAAAAAUUGGAACAGUGGCGAACCCUCCCAGGAGUGACCGGCCUAUCCAAAUUACUCCAAGAGCGCAGCGACAGUUUCACUUUUGGGUC
Molecule: long non-coding RNA, 1009 nt
Organism: Oreochromis niloticus (Nile tilapia)
Lineage: Eukaryota; Metazoa; Chordata; Actinopteri; Cichliformes; Cichlidae
Exons: 2
Source: RefSeq, a predicted model, not a curated record